Molecule: ribosomal RNA, 254 nt
Filed under: uncultured bacterium
Lineage: Bacteria
Description: partial 16S ribosomal RNA
Rfam family: Bacterial small subunit ribosomal RNA
Source: RNAcentral
UACGUAGGGGGCAAGCGUUGUCCGGAUUUAUUGGGCGUAAAGAGCUCGUAGGCGGCUCGGUAAGUCGGGUGUGAAACCUCCAGGCUCAACCUGGAGACGCCACUCGAUACUGCCGUGGCUAGAGUCCGGUAGAGGAGCGUAGAAUUCCUGGUGUAGCGGUGAAAUGCGCAGAUAUCAGGAGGAAUACCAGCGGCGAAGGCGGCGCUCUGGGCCGGUACUGACGCUGAGGAGCGAAAGCGUGGGGAGCAAACAGG